RNAcentral lists this ribosomal RNA (2944 nucleotides) under Acinetobacter sp. T_3_1. RNAcentral describes it as "23S ribosomal RNA". It matches the Rfam family "Bacterial large subunit ribosomal RNA". The record is from RNAcentral. Lineage: Bacteria; Pseudomonadati; Pseudomonadota; Gammaproteobacteria; Moraxellales; Moraxellaceae.
GUUGUAUAGUCAAGUAAUUAAGUGCAUGUGGUGGAUGCCUUGGCAGUCAGAGGCGAUGAAAGACGUAAUAGCCUGCGAUAAGCUCCGGGGAGGCGGCANAAUGAGUUACUAGCGAUUAAACUGAAUCAAGCGUUUUGGUAUAUGAAUCUAAUUGAAGCUGUACAGUGAUUAAGUUCACAGUGCUCUAAACUGUUAUGUUGGUUGAUCUGACUUGUAGGAUCAAACGACUGUUUGGGGUUGUAUAGUCAAGUAAUUAAGUGCAUGUGGUGGAUGCCUUGGCAGUCAGAGGCGAUGAAAGACGUAAUAGCCUGCGAUAAGCUCCGGGGAGGCGGCAAAUAUCCUUUGAUCCGGAGAUUUCUGAAUGGGGGAACCCACUUACCAUAAGGUAGGUAUCAUACACUGAAUACAUAGGUGUAUGAGGCAAACGAGGGGAAGUGAAACAUCUCAGUACCCUUAGGAAAAGAAAUCAAUUGAGAUUCCCUCAGUAGCGGCGAGCGAANNNNNNNNNNNNNNNNNNNNNNNNNNNNNNNNNNNNNNNNNNNNNNNNNNNNNNNNNNNNNNNNNNNNNNNNNNNNGGUGACUGCGUACCUUUUGUAUAAUGGGUCAGCGACUUAUAUUCAGUAGCAAGGUUAACCGUAUAGGGGAGCCGUAGAGAAAUCGAGUCUUAAUAGGGCGUUUAGUUGCUGGGUAUAGACCCGAAACCGGGUGAUCUAUCCAUGAGCAGGUUGAAGGUUAGGUAACACUGACUGGAGGACCGAACCCACUGUCGUUGAAAAGCCAGGGGAUGACUUGUGGAUAGGGGUGAAAGGCUAAUCAAACUCGGUGAUAGCUGGUUCUCCCCGAAAGCUAUUUAGGUAGCGCCUCGGACGAAUACCAUUGGGGGUAGAGCACUGUUUCGGCUAGGGGGUCAUCCCGACUUACCAAACCGAUGCAAACUCCGAAUACCAAUGAGUACUAUCCGGGAGACAGACUGCGGGUGCUAACGUCCGUAGUCAAGAGGAAAACAAUCCAGACCGCCAGCUAAGGCCCCAAAAUCAUAGUUAAGUGGGAAACGAUGUGGGAAGGCAUAGACAGCUAGGAGGUUGGCUUAGAAGCAGCCACCCUUUAAAGAAAGCGUAAUAGCUCACUAGUCGAGUCGGCCUGCGCGGAAGAUGUAACGGGGCUAAAACUAUGUGCCGAAGCUGCGGAUGUAUACAUUGUAUACGUGGUAGGGGAGCGUUCUGUAAGCCGAUGAAGGUGGAUUGAGAAGUCUGCUGGAGGUAUCAGAAGUGCGAAUGCUGACGUGAGUAACGACAAAGCGGGUGAAAAACCCGCUCGCUGAAAGACCAAGGGUUCCAGUCCAACGUUAAUCGGGGCUGGGUGAGUCGACCCCUAAGGCGAGGCCGAAAGGCGUAGUCGAUGGGAAAUUGGUUAAUAUUCCAAUACUUCAGUGUAAUGCGAUGAGAGGACGGAGAAGGUUAAGUCAGCCUGGCGUUGGUUGUCCAGGUGGAAGGAAGUAGGCAUGCAUCUUAGGCAAAUCCGGGGUGCUCUAUGCUGAGAUCUGAUAGCAAGCUGUACUUGUACAGUGAAGUGGCUGAUACCAUACUUCCAGGAAAAGUCUCUAAGCUUCAGUUACACUGGAAUCGUACCCGAAACCGACACUGGUGGUCAGGUCGAGUAGACCAAAGCGCUUGAGAGAACUCUGCUGAAGGAACUAGGCAAAAUGGUACCGUAACUUCGGGAGAAGGUACGCUGCUUUUGGUGAUGGAACUUGCUUCCUGAGCUGAGAGCAGCCACAGAAACCAGGCCCCUGCAACUGUUUAUUAAAAACAUAGCACUCUGCAAACACGAAAGUGGACGUAUAGGGUGUGAUGCCUGCCCGGUGCUGGAAGGUUAAUUGAUGGGGUUAGCGUAAGCGAAGCUCUUGAUCGAAGCCCCAGUAAACGGCGGCCGUAACUAUAACGGUCCUAAGGUAGCGAAAUUCCUUGUCGGGUAAGUUCCGACCUGCACGAAUGGCAUAAUGAUGGGGGCGCUGUCUCCAGCAGAGGCUCAGUGAAAUCGAAAUCGCCGUGAAGAUGCGGUGUACCCGCGGCUAGACGGAAAGACCCCGUGAACCUUUACUGCAGCUUGACAUUGAACUUUGAUCUUACGUGUGUAGGAUAGGUGGGAGGCUUUGAAAUCAGGACGCCAGAUCUGAUGGAGCCGUCCUUGAAAUACCACCCUGGUAAGAUUGAGGUUCUAACUCUGUCCCGUUAUCCGGGACGAGGACCAUGUCUGGUGGGUAGUUUGACUGGGGCGGUCUCCUCCUAAAGAGUAACGGAGGAGUACGAAGGUGCGCUCAGCGUGGUCGGAACUCACGCGUAGAGUAUAAAGGCAAAAGCGCGCUUAACUGCGAGACCCACAAGUCGAGCAGGUACGAAAGUAGGUCUUAGUGAUCCGGUGGUUCUGUAUGGAAGGGCCAUCGCUCAACGGAUAAAAGGUACUCUGGGGAUAACAGGCUGAUACCGCCCAAGAGUUCAUAUCGACGGCGGUGUUUGGCACCUCGAUGUCGGCUCAUCUCAUCCUGGGGCUGAAGCAGGUCCCAAGGGUAUGGCUGUUCGCCAUUUAAAGAGGUACGCGAGCUGGGUUUAGAACGUCGUGAGACAGUUCGGUCCCUAUCUACCGUGGGCGUUGGAAAUUUGAGAGGAUCUGCUCCUAGUACGAGAGGACCAGAGUGGACGAACCUCUGGUGUACCGGUUGUGACGCCAGUCGCAUCGCCGGGUAGCUAUGUUCGGAAGGGAUAACCGCUGAAAGCAUCUAAGCGGGAAGCCUACCUCAAGAUAAGAUUUCCCCGAGACUUUAUGUCUCCUAAAGAGCCGUUGAAGACUACGACGUUGAUAGGUUGGAUGUGGAAGCAUGGUGACAUGUGAAGCUGACCAAUACUAAUUGCUCGUGAGGCUUGACUAUACAACACCCAAACAGUUG